RNAcentral lists this long non-coding RNA (655 nucleotides) under Pan troglodytes (chimpanzee). RNAcentral's name for it is "long non-coding RNA NONPTRT003028". Lineage: Eukaryota; Metazoa; Chordata; Mammalia; Primates; Hominidae. The record is from RNAcentral.
AGCCUGUGAAAGCAGCUGGGAGGGCUGUACCCUGCAAAGCCACAAAGGCAGAGCUGCCCAAGACUUUUGAGUUAAUGCUGAAAUGAGAUAAGACUUUAGGGGUACUGUUGGGAAGGCAUGAUUGGUUUUGAAAUGUGAGGACCUAAGAUCUGGGAGAGGCCAGUGGUGGAAUGAUAUGGUUUGGCUGUGUCCCCACCAAAAUCUCAUUUUGAAUGUACCUCCUAUAAUCCCCAUAUGUCAUGGGAGGGACCCAGUGGGAAGUAAUUAAAUCAUGGGGGUGGGUUUUUCCUGUGCUUAUGAGAGUGAAUAAGCUUCACGAGAUCUGAUGGUUUUAUAAAAGGGAGUUCUCCUGCACACACACUCUUGACUGCCACCAUGUGAGAUGUGCCUUUGCUCCUCCUUUGCCUUCCGCCAUGAGUGUGAGGCCUCCCCAGCCAUGUGGAACUGUGAGUCCAUUAAACCUCUUUUUCUUUAUCGUUUUCCAUUCUUGGGUAUUUCUUCAUAGCUAUAUGAAAAUGGACUAAUGCCACGAGGUGCAGUGGCUCAUGCCUGUAAUUCUAACACUGUGGGAGGCUGAGGCGGGUGGAUCACGAGGUCAGGAGUUCAAGACCAUCCUGGCUAAGAUGGUGAAACCCUGUCUCUACUAAAAAUACAA